This 256-nucleotide ribosomal RNA is filed under the name uncultured bacterium. Its description in RNAcentral is "partial 16S ribosomal RNA". It matches the Rfam family "Bacterial small subunit ribosomal RNA", at positions 524 to 776 of the family's 1533-position model. The record is from RNAcentral.
UACGUAGGGUGCGAGCGUUGUCCGGAAUUAUUGGGCGUAAAGAGCUUGUAGGCGGUCUGUCGCGUCUGCUGUGAAAAUCCGGGGCUCAACCCCGGACUUGCAGUGGGUACGGGCAGACUAGAGUGUGGUAGGGGAGACUGGAAUUCCUGGUGUAGCGGUGAAAUGCGCAGAUAUCAGGAGGAACACCGGUGGCGAAGGCGGGUCUCUGGGCCGAUACUGACGCUGGAGGAGCGGAAAGCGUGGGGGAGCGAACAGG